AUUGAACGCUGGCGGCAGGCUUAACACAUGCAAGUCGAGCGGAGUGAUGGUGCUUGCACUAUCACUUAGCGGCGGACGGGUGAGUAAUGCUUAGGAAUCUGCCUAUUAGUGGGGGACAACAUCUCGAAAGGGAUGCUAAUACCGCAUACGUCCUACGGGAGAAGGCAGGGGAUCACUUGUGACCUUGCGCUAAUAGAUGAGCCUAAGUCGGAUUAGCUAGUUGGUGGGGUAAAGGCCUACCAAGGCGACGAUCUGUAGCGGGUCUGAGAGGAUGACCCGCCAAACUGGGACUGAGGCACGGCCCAGACUCCUACGGGAGGCAGCAGUGGGGAAUAUUGGACAAUGGGGGAACCCUGAUCCAGCCAUGCCGCGUGUGUGAAGAAGGCCUUAUGGUUGUAAAGCACUUUAAGCGAGGAGGAGGCUCUUUUGGUUAAUACCCAAGAUGAGUGGACGUUACUCGCAGAAUAAGCACCGGCUAACUCUGUGCCAGCAGCCGCAGUAA
Molecule: ribosomal RNA, 502 nt
Filed under: uncultured bacterium
Lineage: Bacteria
Description: partial 16S ribosomal RNA
Rfam family: Bacterial small subunit ribosomal RNA
Source: RNAcentral